RNAcentral lists this ribosomal RNA (460 nucleotides) under uncultured bacterium. RNAcentral's name for it is "bacterial SSU rRNA". It matches the Rfam family "Bacterial small subunit ribosomal RNA", at positions 28 to 505 of the family's 1533-position model. The record is from RNAcentral.
GAUUAACGCUAGUAGAGCGCCUAACACAUGCAAGUCGAGCGACUGAUUUCCGCUUGCGGAAUGAUGGAGCGGCAAACGGGCGAGUAACGCGUAUCUAACCUACCCAUGAGAUGAGAACAACUAUGGAGACAUAGCUAAUUCUCAAUACGCCCUUUAAAGUGAAAUUCUUCUUAGGGGAAAACUCCGGUGCUCAUGGAGGGGGGUGCGUCCUAUCAGGUAGUUGGUGAGAUAAAAGCUCACCAAGCCUAUGACGGGUAGCCGGUCUGAGAGGAUGGACGGCCGCAAUGGGACUGAGACACGGCCCAUACUCCUACGGGAGGCAGCAGUGGGGAAUCUUGCGCAAUGGACGAAAGUCUGACGCAGCGACUCUACGUGAAGGAUGAAGCAUUAUGGUGUGUAAACUUCUUUUUUGGGAGAAGACGAAUGACGGUACCCCAAGAAUAAGGGACGGCUAACUACG